Paramisgurnus dabryanus is the source of this 356-nucleotide long non-coding RNA. RefSeq lists it as uncharacterized. The record is from RefSeq and is a predicted model, not a curated record. NCBI's taxonomy places the organism in Eukaryota, Metazoa, Chordata, Actinopteri, Cypriniformes, Cobitidae.
CUUCAUUUCUAUACAGUGGAUACUGACGUCAGCUCUGCUUUUUGGUGUGGCAAGCGGCUGCGUUAUUUGGAGCUGUGUGUCCGACGGCAGUGAGGCUUUCCUUCACCGUGUGCUGUGUUAUGCUGUGUGAGCACCACUGAUAAAAUCACGGGAACAAGACAGCAGCGUAGACUCUCUUUGAAGGGUCUCUUUGGCCAUCUCUCCUGAUUGUGUUUCAGGUCCAAAUUUACUUCCUGCCCCGCCUUGCCUGGUGGUAAGUGUUUUACUAAAAUUUAGCUAUGGCAGAAGAAUUACAAGAACUUCGGGAUCUUGUGGCCCAAUUAAGAGCUGAUAAUGAGAGACUUAGACAAGAACAG